AAUCUGUCUUAAUCACGUCACCUCACUGCUUAUGACUCUCAUACAACCCAACCCCCCCAUCAGAAGUAGGGCAGUGGCCAGUUUCUGGACUUCUGGAGUUAACAGUUGAGUCCCUCGGAUGACCUUGCUCAGUGCAGCCAGGGACUGGUGGAUACUCUGUGAUGACACUUACAGUUUACAUACAG
This is a long non-coding RNA of Oreochromis niloticus (Nile tilapia), 185 nucleotides long. RefSeq lists it as uncharacterized. The record is from RefSeq and is a predicted model, not a curated record. NCBI's taxonomy places the organism in Eukaryota, Metazoa, Chordata, Actinopteri, Cichliformes, Cichlidae. The transcript is spliced from 3 exons.